AGUCUGGUGCCAGCAGCCGCGGUAAUUCCAGCUCCAAUAGCGUAUAUUAAAAUUGUUGCGUCUAAAAGCUCGUAGUUUGAAAACUUGCCUCAGUUUACAAUCGGUCCUCACGGGCCACCGUUUAUUGGGCGCAAAUAUAGAUAACUGUUUUUGCCGACUUCACUGUUUGGCUUAUAAGAGUUAUCAAAUAUCACUUUGAUUAAAUUAGAGUGCUUAAAGCAAGUGUGUUACUUGGAUAUAAAUGCAUGGAAUGAUGGAAUAUGUUGUUGUUCUAUUUGUUGGUUUUUGAACGAUGAAAUGAUUGAAAGGAACUGUUGGGGGCAUUCGUAUUGUUGUGAGAGAGGUGAAAUUCUUAGACCACAGCAAGACGAACUACUGCGAAAGCAUUUGCCAAGAAUGUUUUCAUUGAUCAAGAACGAAAGUUAGAGGUUCGAAGGCGAUCAGAUACCGCCCUAGUUCUAACCAUA
RNAcentral lists this ribosomal RNA (467 nucleotides) under Ophionyssus natricis. RNAcentral describes it as "SSU rRNA". It matches the Rfam family "Eukaryotic small subunit ribosomal RNA", at positions 558 to 1034 of the family's 1831-position model. Lineage: Eukaryota; Metazoa; Arthropoda; Arachnida; Mesostigmata; Macronyssidae. The record is from RNAcentral.